AUAUCCCUCAUUGGAGAAGCUAGACGUAAAUUCCGUUGUUGGAAAAAUAAAUAGACUGGACUAAAAUUUUAUGAGUGUGGAGUUAGUCGAAAAUAUUUGAGUAGCGCAGUGGUGGAUAGCAACUAUCGCACAGCAAGGAUUGCCUUGCCAAGUUUUAGCAAGCAAGGUUAGUGGGCAAGCUUGGGCAAGACAACCAAGUAGACCUAGAGUUUCAUCCAAGGUUUCAUUAUUAUUUGUUGAUAUCGCACUCUUGGAACAACAAAAUGAAAUCAUGCAAUGAGAUCGGCAAAAGUGACAGUACAUCGGCACAAUGUUCAGAACAUAAGGCAACAUAACCAAAGUGACACUUGCAGAAUACAUCAUUACAAAAAUGUUCAGAAACAUAAGUCAAUCAUAUGGUACUUUCACUCUAAGUACCAUUAUCUACCAAAAUAUAAUAGCACCAUCCCACCUCUGAACCAUCUACUUAAUUAGCCUUGCCACCAAGCACCAAUCCCGCGACAACAACAAAUAAAGCAAGCAGCACAUGCGCGAGUUUGACAUUGUGCCUAUAAUUCCCAAUUGACUUCAGCUCGGCAGUAGCCUUCUGAAGUUGUUGCCACACCGUCUUGAGGUCAUUCCUAAUCUCUCUAAGCUCACAGUUAGCUUUUUCCAAUUCUUCCUCCCACUUCUUGCAUCCUCUUCAGGUUGCACCUUCUUCUUCAUGAGCUUCACCAAAACACCAAAGGCCCUAUCAUCCCAUUCUAGAUCAACCCAAAUCAUGUAACCGC
This 770-nucleotide long non-coding RNA is filed under the name Setaria viridis. RNAcentral describes it as "long non-coding RNA (SVIR_LNC001934)". The record is from RNAcentral. Lineage: Eukaryota; Viridiplantae; Streptophyta; Magnoliopsida; Poales; Poaceae.